GAUGAACGCUGGCGGCGUGCCUAAUACAUGCAAGUCGAGCGAACAGAUGAGGAGCUUGCUCCUCUGACGUUAGCGGCUGACGGGUGAGUAACACGUGGAUAACCUACCUAUAAGACUCGAAUAACUUCGGGAAACCGGAGAUAAUACCGGAUAAUAUAUUGAACCGCAUGGUUCAAUAGUGAAAGACGGUUUUGCUGUCACUUAUAGAUGGAUCCGCGCCGCAUAAGCUAGUUGGUAAGGCAACGGCUUACCAAAGCAACGAUGCAAAACCGACAUGAAAGAGAGAUCGGACACAUUAGAGCUAAGAAUCGGACCAGCCAACAAAGGAAGCCAGCAGGAGGGAAUCUUACGCAAUGGGGGCAAAACAGAUAAAGCAAAGCCGCGUGAGUGAUGGUGGUCUUGGGAUCGUAAAACUCUGUUAUGAGAAGAGUACAAAUGUGUACGUAACUAUGCACGUCUUGACGGUACCUAAUCAAACAGCCACGGCUAACUACGUG
This 497-nucleotide ribosomal RNA is filed under the name uncultured bacterium. RNAcentral describes it as "partial 16S ribosomal RNA". It matches the Rfam family "Bacterial small subunit ribosomal RNA", at positions 28 to 507 of the family's 1533-position model. The record is from RNAcentral.